This 253-nucleotide ribosomal RNA is filed under the name uncultured bacterium. RNAcentral's name for it is "partial 16S ribosomal RNA". It matches the Rfam family "Bacterial small subunit ribosomal RNA", at positions 524 to 776 of the family's 1533-position model. The record is from RNAcentral.
UACGGAGGGUGCAAGCGUUAUCCGGAUUUACUGGGUUUAAAGGGUGCGUAGGUGGGUAGAUAAGUCAGUGGUGAAAUCUUCGGGCUUAACCCGGAAACUGCCAUUGAUACUAUCUGUCUUGAAUAUCCUGGAGGUGAGCGGAAUAUGUCAUGUAGCGGUGAAAUGCUUAGAUAUGACAUAGAACACCAAUUGCGAAGGCAGCUCACUACGGGAUUAUUGACACUGAUGCACGAAAGCGUGGGGAUCAAACGGG